This 501-nucleotide ribosomal RNA is filed under the name uncultured bacterium. RNAcentral describes it as "partial 16S ribosomal RNA". It matches the Rfam family "Bacterial small subunit ribosomal RNA", at positions 28 to 523 of the family's 1533-position model. The record is from RNAcentral.
GAUGAACGCUAGCGGCAGGCUUAAUACAUGCAAGUCGAGGGGCAGCACAGAUAGCAAUAUUGGGUGGCGACCGGCAAACGGGUGCGGAACACGUACACAACCUUCCUUUUAGUGUGGGAUAGCCCAGAGAAAUUUGGAUUAAUACCACAUAGUAUAUUGGAGUGGCAUCACUUUGAUAUUAAAGAUCUAUCGCGAAAAGUUGGGUGUACGUAUGAGUAUGUAGUUGGUAGAGGUAACGCCUCACCAAUCCUUCGAUCAUUAACUGGUGUGAAAGCACGACCAGUCACACGGGCACUGAGACACGGGCCCGACUCCUACGGGAGGCAGAAGUAAGGAAUAUUGGUCAAUGCACGGAAGUCUGAACCAGCCAUGCCGCGUGAAGGAUGACGGCCCUCUGGUUUGUAAACUUCUUUUAUGUGGGACGAAAAAGGGCCAUUUUUGGUCAACUGACGGUACCAUAGGAAUAAGCACCGGCUAACUCCGUGCCAGCCGCCGCGGUAA